AACGAACGCUGGCGGCGUGCCUAAUACAUGCAAGUCGAGCGCAGGAAGCCGUCUGAACCCUUCGGGGGGACGACGGUGGAAUGAGCGGCGGACGGGUAAGUAACACGUAAAGAACCUGCCCAUAGGUCUGGGAUAACCACGAGAAAUCGGGGCUAAUACCGGAUGUGUCAUCGGACCGCAUGGUCCGCUGAUGAAAGGCGCUCCGGCGUCGCCCAUGGAUGGCUUUGCGGUGCAUUAGCUAGUUGGUGGGGUAACGGCCCACCAAGGCGACGAUGCAUAGCCGACCUGAGAGGGUGAUCGGCCACACUGGGACUGAGACACGGCCCAGACUCCUACGGGAGGCAGCAGUAGGGAAUCUUCCACAAUGGACGAAAGUCUGAUGGAGCAACGCCGCGUGAACGAUGAAGGCUUUCGGGUCGUAAAGUUCUGUUGUAAGGGAAGAACAAGUGCCGCAGGCAAUGGCGGCACCUUGACGGUACCUUGCGAGAAAGCCACGGCUAACUACGUGCCAGCAGCCGCUGUAA
RNAcentral lists this ribosomal RNA (524 nucleotides) under uncultured bacterium. RNAcentral describes it as "partial 16S ribosomal RNA". It matches the Rfam family "Bacterial small subunit ribosomal RNA", at positions 29 to 523 of the family's 1533-position model. The record is from RNAcentral.